RNAcentral lists this unclassified non-coding RNA (2388 nucleotides) under Leishmania donovani. RNAcentral describes it as "gene:LdHU3.09.1460(CDS-product:hypothetical_prote in_conserved)". Lineage: Eukaryota; Euglenozoa; Kinetoplastea; Trypanosomatida; Trypanosomatidae. The record is from RNAcentral.
AAUCCGCGCUCACAUCCUCUCUUGCCACGCACACACACACACACGCCACUGCUGCAUCUCUCUCGCGCCUACGCCUCUGCAGAGAUCAACACACUACCAACGGCACUGCUUCGCACGCAGCAAUGUCGAAUGAGGAAGUCUUUCGUAUCAGCAACGUCAGCGGCUAUUCGGUAGAGAUGCCGCUGGCCACGGCGAAGGAGCUGCUGGGCAUGCUGAACAUGGACCAGGUAUUCCGAGCGGCGCGGGCUGGCACUGACGACACGGACGAGUCGGACGUGGACGACGGCGACACGGAGCCGGUGAAGGCGGAGGGCACGGAUUACAGCAAGGAGGUGCUGGACGUGGUGCGCGCGUACGCGUUGCUCCCGCCUGACGAGCGCACCAGCAGCAUCCCUCGCCCCCUCACGCAGGACCUGCGGAGCGUGGUGUACGCGGGCGAGAUGGAGCUGGUUGAGAAGGCGGAGAGGGAGGACUACCUCGUCGAUCUUCUCAACUGCGCGUUGUUCCUGCGUUUCUCGCAACUGUCCGCGCUGUGCGCCGCCUACAUGGCGGUCCGCAUUGACGAGAUCGCGAAGGCGGCGCCGGACAUUAUGGAGGGCGCCGAGCGCAUCCGGAAAUUCCUGCAUAUGCAGAACGAGUGGACCGAAGAGGAGAUGGGUCACCUGCGGCGUGAGAUGGAGUACGCUAAAUCGGUGGACCCGAAUGUGUAUUGAAAGCACGCGCCCGUGCCUGCGCGCCUGUGUGCACGUCUGAGUGAGGGUGCCUCGUGGGUGUCUCCCUCCCUUCCUUUCUGUCCUUAUCUUCGCUGGAGGCUACCCCUCCUCACCUUCACGCGUCUCUCUCUCAUCCCGACCCUCACUGCAACCCAUUGCUGACAUUGCCCGAAUCAGCCUCUCUGCGCUGAGGAGGACGAGGAGGCGUAUGGCACGUAAUUCCCGUUGUUUUCGUUCAUCGCCUGUAGUGCUUGACUUCUUGUUUCUUUCCAGUUCACCGUGCGACGAAACCCCGCCGCCAACACUCGCGUCCCUCCCCCACUCACCGACGUCCGUGUCACUGUCAGGCGCCCCUCUCAGACGUCUCUGCCCCCCCCCUUCCUCCUCCUCAGCCCCCGGCCAGCGUCUUCGCUGUCAUUGCAGCAGUGCCUGGAGGAUUUACUUGAACUGGAGAGAAUGGACACGUUCAUGGAAGGCGGCGACGUGCGUCCAUGGGUGGGUGGGAAGAGUCGAGGCAGGGAAGCGGGGCGCCGACCUCUGUCCAACUUAUGCAGCAGGCCGGUGAUCCGGUGGGUCUGCGCACGUGUGCUCGCCUGUGUUUCGCCUCCCCUCCUCCCUCCACACACCUCUCUCUCUCACCCUUUUGUGUUUUCUGCGCAGCACGCGCUGGCGUGUACAUGGCGGUGCGUGCGUGCGUGUCCGGCUGCUCGUUCUCUGAACCCCCUCCCCCACUGACAAUGAGGCGGAAGAUUGUAAAGUCAAGUGGAGGCAGAGCUAGAGCUGAGACGCACACGCGAGGCUGUAACACGGCAUGCCCGUGGUCGUCACGCGGCUCUGCGUCUCUCUCUCUCCCUGCCCAGCCUGCCGCUCGUCCAUUGUACCUUUUGCUCGCAUUCUUCUAUAUGCCUCCCUCCCUUCCCUCAACAUCCUCCUCUCGUCUCUCUUUCCAUCGUUGUCUUCAACGUUUUUUUUUUGGGUGUGCGCCUCACACCUCCGCCAUCGCUUCUACGUCUACGAAGCGCGCCAUGGGCCGUGGCGAUGGGCGAUCGCCGAUGACCCCUCGACACCGAUGUCGAUGUGAUGACGCUCAUCGAGUCGCGCGAUGCACCAGUGAGUGGCUGGCGGUGUAGGCGGUGUUGUGUAUCUUGUGCGUUUUUUUUUGGGGGGAGGGAGGGCCCCUCCCUUCCCUUCAUCUUCCUCGCGGCACAGUUUUCGGUGGGCCGACGUUGUUUUCAUGGGCCCUUCUUAUUGGCGGUGAUGGUGUUGGUUAUGGUGCUCCCCGUCUGUCUCCCUGACUGCGUCUUUCCUCUCUGCUUCUCUCCUUCCACGGACUGAAGUGCAUCAUCGUAGAGUAGUAAAACCUCUUGGGAACCAACAACAGCACGCGUUGUUCGGGGGAGGGAGGGGGGUUAUAACGGGAAGGGGCAGCUUCCAGUCGAACUGGUGUCGCGCCUUCCCUUUCCGCCCUCCCCUUCCCCGCCACAGCCCCGUCUUUCUCGGCCUGCCUUUCCUUAUCUCUCCGCAUGGGCACACACGCACACGCCUCCUCCUCUACUUGGAAGUGGGCCUACGAGUGGGCAUGCGAGAGUGCAGGGGAAAGGAUGAGGAGAGACGGGAGAAACGGGGGCAACGGGAGAGGGACAUGGAAGAAGCAGCGCACCACCCCCCCCCUACC